UACGUAGGGGGCGAGCGUUGUCCGGAGUUACUGGGCGUAAAGCGCACGCAGGCGGUCGUGUCAGUUUGGGGUUACAGCUCCCGGCUCAACCGGGAGAGCGCCUCGAAGACGGCAGGACUUGAGGGCCAGAGAGGGACACAGAAUUCCGGGUGGAGUGGUGAAAUGCGUAGAUAUCCGGAGGAAUACCAAAGGCGAAGGCAGUGUCCUGGCUGGUACCUGACGCUGAGGUGCGAAAGCUAGGGGAGCGAACGGG
Molecule: ribosomal RNA, 253 nt
Filed under: uncultured bacterium
Lineage: Bacteria
Description: partial 16S ribosomal RNA
Rfam family: Bacterial small subunit ribosomal RNA
Source: RNAcentral